Molecule: non-coding RNA, 877 nt
Organism: Meleagris gallopavo (turkey)
Lineage: Eukaryota; Metazoa; Chordata; Aves; Galliformes; Phasianidae
Source: RefSeq, a predicted model, not a curated record
CUAGUCUUUUUGGCAGGCUUUGGAAAAGGCCUGUUUCCUGGCAGGAGGAAAAGCCAGCCUUGGCUUCAAGCAGUCACUGACAAUUCCCAGCAUAUGGUAAGAGAGGGAGCUUCCGCCUACCCCAUCAGGAGACUUGAAAAAACCUUAGAAGGCACAGAGAUACAUCCCUAAAAGCCUAGAAGAAGACUGAUACUGAGAAGCCUUCAGACUCCUUUCCAUGAUGGCCUAUUCUUACAGAACACUGAAAACAGUUUAAAUAAGUGCAGAGACACUGCCACUGUGUCACCCUCUUUUGAUGCCAAGUCUCCCCAAGGAGGAGAUAACUAUUUCUUAGCUAUAGACUGGAGAACUGCCUUUGGUUCAACAGCAGGAUGUAAACACUUCUUUCUUGGGCUGCACUGUAUUUAUACUGCAACUUUGCCAAGUGUUGAUAAGGAGACACUGAUGUGUAAAACCUGAGCAUGUUUAAUCUUUGCUCCAGUCACUGCUGAUGGCACAUCACAUGCCUUCUCCUUUUCCCCAUCUCCCCUAAAUAUACUGGCCAAAGAAAUGAAUGGAAAAGAUUGGAAAGCAAGCACUUGCUAGCCAUAGCAGUGCUGACCAAUGCCAGUUCGGUCAGCGGCCAUGAAGUUUGAUCUCAAAGCAUAUGGAGUAGCAUGGAUGGGGAUCGGAGGGGAGCAGGGAACCUUUCCAGGGACUAUUCUGGAUGCUGAACUGGAGAUUCCAGAAGCUGCUACAGCAAAAAACCUGCCCGUAUCAUAAAUCAACUGCAUCCCAGUCCCUGCUGGAACGUGUGGAGAUAUUUCAUCUGCUGCCUCUUCAUUUCCUGGUUUGGAGACUGACUCAGAAUUGAAGACAUUAAGCAUUAAAAUUAGCU